This 458-nucleotide ribosomal RNA is filed under the name uncultured bacterium. RNAcentral describes it as "bacterial SSU rRNA". It matches the Rfam family "Bacterial small subunit ribosomal RNA", at positions 29 to 507 of the family's 1533-position model. The record is from RNAcentral.
AACGAACGCUGGCGGCAGGCCUAACACAUGCAAGUCGAGCGAGGUAGCAAUACCUAGCGGCGGACGGGUGAGUAACGCGUGGGAACGUGCCCUUUGGUACGGAAUAGCCCCGGGAAACUGGGAGUAAUACCGUAUAAGCUCUUCGGAGGAAAGAUUUAUCGCCAAAGGAUCGGCCCGCGUUGGAUUAGGUAGUUGGUGGGGUAAUGGCCUACCAAGCCGACGAUCCAUAGCUGGUUUGAGAGGAUGAUCAGCCACGCUGGGACUGAGACACGGCCCAGACUCCUACGGGAGGCAGCAGUGGGGAAUCUUAGACAAUGGGCGCAAGCCUGAUCUAGCCAUGCCGCGUGCAGGAAGAAGGCCUUCGGGUUGUAAACUGCUUUUGUACGGAACGAAAAGGCUCUGGUUAAUACCUGGGGCUCAUGACGGUACCGUAAGAAUAAGCACCGGCUAACUACGUG